GAGCUUCCCCCAAACAACAUACAUAUUGAAAUUAGAAUCAUGCAGAGAGGAUUGGCAAUGUCCAUGUGCAAAAAUGACAGGCAAAUGUGUAAAAUAUUCCAUAUAUUU
This is a non-coding RNA of Otolemur garnettii (small-eared galago), 108 nucleotides long. NCBI's taxonomy places the organism in Eukaryota, Metazoa, Chordata, Mammalia, Primates, Galagidae. The record is from Rfam.